RNAcentral lists this ribosomal RNA (169 nucleotides) under Lophodermium nitens. RNAcentral's name for it is "5.8S ribosomal RNA". It matches the Rfam family "5.8S ribosomal RNA". Rfam says of the family: 5.8S ribosomal RNA (5.8S rRNA) is a component of the large subunit of the eukaryotic ribosome. It is transcribed by RNA polymerase I as part of the 45S precursor that also contains 18S and 28S rRNA. RNAcentral also lists the same sequence under 3 other names. Lineage: Eukaryota; Fungi; Ascomycota; Leotiomycetes; Rhytismatales; Rhytismataceae. The record is from RNAcentral.
AAACUUUCAACAACGGAUCUCUUGGUUCUGGCAUCGAUGAAGAACGCAGCGAAAUGCGAUAAGUAAUGUGAAUUGCAGAAUUCAGUGAAUCAUCGAAUCUUUGAACGCACAUUGCGCCUCCUGGUAUUCCGGGAGGCAUGCCUGUUCGAGCGUCAUUACAACCCUCAAG